ACCGUAUUAUUGCCAACUGGAUAACCCACAUCCUGAACGAUGACAGGUUGUGGUUGGGAAGGGGGUUUAACUCCCCCGCAGCCCCCGCUGCUGUGAUGCCGACGAAUCCACUGCGCCACUGAUCUGAGGAUUGGGAAGGGAGUGGAUGAGGAUGACGCUAAGCCAGAAGACCGGCCAGUUGGUCACACAUUCA
Molecule: non-coding RNA, 193 nt
Filed under: Serratia fonticola
Lineage: Bacteria; Pseudomonadati; Pseudomonadota; Gammaproteobacteria; Enterobacterales; Yersiniaceae
Source: RNAcentral